CGUUGCCUUGUGCCAUUGCGAAACCAACGCGACCUACUAGUCAGAACGACCAUCCCAGG
This 59-nucleotide ribosomal RNA is filed under the name Biancaea decapetala. Its description in RNAcentral is "partial 26S ribosomal RNA". Lineage: Eukaryota; Viridiplantae; Streptophyta; Magnoliopsida; Fabales; Fabaceae. The record is from RNAcentral.